Molecule: unclassified non-coding RNA, 309 nt
Filed under: Hevea brasiliensis (rubber tree)
Lineage: Eukaryota; Viridiplantae; Streptophyta; Magnoliopsida; Malpighiales; Euphorbiaceae
Source: RNAcentral
UAGAAAUUAAAGCUUCAACGUAUUCAUGGAUAUAUAAGUCAUGGCAUUCAACUGCGAAGCACAAGAUAGUCGAGGAAGGGUUUAGCGUUGGGCGCGAGAACAUUCAGCUCAGCAUGAGUGCCUAACUCGAAGUCUUCAAACUGGAAGGCAGGAGCACAGGUGCAUCCGACCAGCGAGUAAUGCAACUCAGGAUCCCUGAUAGGAGCUUUGCUGAGGAGACUACCAUCGGAUGCAAAGGCUGCGACAUCUAACGUUGGAAAUGAUCCGAACCACACAUUCGGUGGAACAGUAUACUGGGGGCGAUGUCCG